UGUGAGGGCGAACUGGCUGCGACAUCUGUAACUCCCCAUUGAUCGCUAAGGGUUAUUCGGCUGAUCUGGUAUAGGCGGGUGUCCCCUUCCUCCCUCGACAAUCCACCAGCGUUCCUCCCGAAGCUCUGCGCUCGGUCGAAGAGGACGGUCUGCGCGUAUCCGCUCCCCUGCUAGAACCUCCAAACGAGCCCCCUUGUAGGAGAGCCGAGCAUCGAGAGUGCUCACACACAUCUAAGUGCGGCACUGCACGGGGCAGUUUGCCUUCCUUUUCUCCAUUAAGAUCUCUUUUAUGUCAUAUGACCAACAACACUCAACACACAUAAGUGCAAAAUAGCCUUCUUUCUUAUGAGGUUUAAUGACGCCCAAACUACAAUGCAGGGAAGGGGAAAGCGGCGGACAUGAAGUUAACCAGAAAACCAGAUCUUCACGUUAGAGCUAACGACUCGCUGUCAGAGCUUCCCACAGCACUCCCCCCGCCACCCCCCCCAAUCCAUUUUCAGGUUUGUUAUUAGCCCCCUCCCCAAAUUUACCCAUUUGAGGUAGCGGGUUCCGAUGGAUGGCUAGGCUGGGGGGGGGGGAGAGAUUACACUUAUGUGCUGUAGUGUUACAGUAUGGCCCCACAACUGCGCAGCCCAGACAGAGCAUGACUGUCACCCCAGCAUCUCAUACCACAGCUUGGCGUGCCGGUACUUUCCAUACUGGCCGGAACAAACCACGACCGUGUCCAGCGCCACAACUGGAGCAGAUGUGGCCCAGCUCCUGAACAUCUGUGUGAGAAAUUCCAAUUCGGUGCCUCCUUCCCACACAAUCGAUCAUUUUUUCCCUUCCCUGCACUCAUUUGAAUUUUAACAUACAGCUGGGGACCAGCGCUGGGAGUCGUGUGGAGGAUGGAACGACAGAACCCCUUUGUUUGUGCCCAAAAAAACCAUCCCGUCAAACCCCACCCCCCCAUUGUGUGAAACCUGCUCCCGGUGUAAAUAAUUAGCCGCGAGGCUAAGAGCGAUGCUCUCCCCCUGUACCCAAAAAGAGGACAAAGGGACACCGAGGCCUGAAUGUGCCUCAUACCGCCCACGUGGAAAAAAAUCCCAGAC
Brienomyrus brachyistius is the source of this 1091-nucleotide long non-coding RNA. RefSeq lists it as uncharacterized. The record is from RefSeq and is a predicted model, not a curated record. The transcript has 3 exons. Lineage: Eukaryota; Metazoa; Chordata; Actinopteri; Osteoglossiformes; Mormyridae.